GUGCUUGCUUCAGCAGCACGUAUACUAAAACUGAAACAACACAGAGAUUAGCAUGGCCCCUCUGCAAGGAUGACACACAAUCCUGUGAAGCAUUUCAAAGUAAG
Small nuclear RNA from Nannospalax galili (Upper Galilee mountains blind mole rat), 104 nucleotides. The record is from Ensembl. Lineage: Eukaryota; Metazoa; Chordata; Mammalia; Rodentia; Spalacidae.